This 414-nucleotide long non-coding RNA is filed under the name Fukomys damarensis (Damara mole-rat). RNAcentral's name for it is "lncRNA (ENSFDAG00000027072.1)". Lineage: Eukaryota; Metazoa; Chordata; Mammalia; Rodentia; Bathyergidae. The record is from RNAcentral.
CUGAAAGCCCCACUUGUGAACUCAUGAGAUGUUUGGGGGACACUUUAAAUUUUAAGCCCUAACAUCAACAUAGGUGGCUGGCUUUUUUGAACCUAGGAGGAAACGGGAGGGAUGUGAAAGGUCAAAUAUCUGUCCAGCGCCCCGGAGCAGGGCCAUCUUCUCCUCUGUUCUGCAUUCGCCUGUGGUUAUCUUCCUCCUAUCAAAGCGUACACAGAACCCCAACGGAGGGCAAGCAGCUCUUUAUAAAAAGCUUCAAGGAAGUGUCCUAAAGUCACACAGGAUCCAGGUAUUGGCUUGGAGCUGGGAAUGGGGCAUGGACAAGGGGGAUCAGGCAUUGCUGUUUUGGGACAAGCUAGUGCUUCUUCGAUCAAUCUGAGGAAUGCCUUAGGAUAGAGGGUGGGAACAGACAUUUUU